RNAcentral lists this ribosomal RNA (468 nucleotides) under uncultured bacterium. Its description in RNAcentral is "partial 16S ribosomal RNA". It matches the Rfam family "Bacterial small subunit ribosomal RNA", at positions 28 to 507 of the family's 1533-position model. The record is from RNAcentral.
GACGAACGCUGGCGGCGUGCUUAACACAUGCAAGUCGAACGGAAAGGCCCUGCUUUUGUGGGGUGCUCGAGUGGCGAACGGGUGAGUGACACGUGAGUAACCUGCCCUUGACUUUGGGAUAACUUCAGGAAACUGGGGCUAAUACCGGAUAGGAGCUCCUGCUGCAUGGUGGGGGUUGGAAAGUUUCGGCGGUUGGGGAUGGACUCGCGGCUUAUCAGCUUGUUGGUGGGGUAGUGGCUUACCAAGGCUUUGACGGGUAGCCGGCCUGAGAGGGUGACCGGUCACAUUGGGACUGAGAUACGGCCCAGACUCCUACGGGAGGCAGCAGUGGGGAAUAUUGCACAAUGGGCGGAAGCCUGAUGCAGCAACGCCGCGUGCGGGAUGACGGCCUUCGGGUUGUAAACCGCUUUCGCCUGUGACGAAGCGUGAGUGACGGUAAUGGGUAAAGAAGCACCGGCUAACUACGUG